UAGGGAAUUUUCGGCAAUGGGGGAAACCCUGACCGAGCAACGCCGCGUGAAGGAUGAAGGUUUUCGGAUCGUAAACUUCUGUUGUAGAAGAAAAAUGACUAUUGUAGGAAAUGACAAUAGAGUGAUGGUAUUCUACUAGAAAGCCACGGCUAACUACGUGCCAGCAGCCGCGGUAAUACGUAGGUGGCGAGCGUUAUCCGGAAUUAUUGGGCGUAAAGAGUGAGCAGGCGGUCGACUAAGUCUGAAUUUAAAAGCAUUCGCUUAACGAAUGUUCGGUUCGGAUACUGGUUGACUAGAGUGCAGGAGAGGUAAGCGGAAUUCCAUGUGUAGCGGUGAAAUGCGUAGAUAUAUGGAGGAACACCAGUGGCGAAGGCGGCUUACUGGCCUGAAACUGACGCUCAGUCACGAAAGCGUGGGGAGCAAAUAGG
RNAcentral lists this ribosomal RNA (428 nucleotides) under uncultured prokaryote. RNAcentral's name for it is "bacterial SSU rRNA". It matches the Rfam family "Bacterial small subunit ribosomal RNA", at positions 355 to 776 of the family's 1533-position model. RNAcentral also lists the same sequence under 1 other name. The record is from RNAcentral.